Molecule: RNA transcript, 4739 nt
Organism: Cryptomeria japonica (Japanese cedar)
Lineage: Eukaryota; Viridiplantae; Streptophyta; Pinopsida; Cupressales; Cupressaceae
Exons: 29
Source: RefSeq, a predicted model, not a curated record
UUGACAAUUUAUAACGCUUGUUAUUUGGCGGCAAUCGCAGGCAACAUUGGGAUGGAGGAGGCAGAAGUGGGGGUGAGGGUUCGAACCCUGGGCGGCGAGAACAGCAUAAUCAAAAUUGGCAGAGAAGAGACUGUGAAGGACCUGAAGGCCAGGCUUCUUCUCCACCAUGCCAAUCUCACUCCGAACUUUCAUCUUUACUUGCGGGGGUCUAAAUUAGAUGUGGGUGCUCAAAUGAGUUCUCUUCUGUUGCAAGAUAGUGAAUUUAUGGUCCUCAUUCCAUUUACAAAGAAGCAGCACCCAAAUGAUAUUGGUAUCAGUGGAAUAACUUCAAAAUUAGAUAUUCCUGCAAAUGAUUACAAACAAAAUCUAAUUGGGGAUAAUAGUGAUAGCAUAUCACAGUUGUGUUGUAAAGGAAAGAUAUCAGGGACAGAUAUUUCUGAAUCUUCAGGAAAGCAUACUCGAGCCGUUGCUGAUGCUGCCUGGCAUGAUAUUAUUUCAGAUCUUGAUCUGUUGAAUACUUCAUCAAAAUUUUCACCUGAUGUGUGGUGUUCAGCCAACGCCACCAAAAGUGUAGUGGGAAAAAGGAAUGAAUUGCAUGAUAAUCAAGAAGGGGAUGGGAGUAGACCUGUUGGUCUUUCAUUAAAUUCCUUUAGAUUGAAUGAGCUUAGAAAUGUUAAACAGGAUAAGGAUUCAGACAGAAAAAGGAAAAAAGUGAAAGGUAUAAAUCAAGAUAAAUCAUCAGCAAUAACAGAAAACUUAACUAAGAAUUCUGGGUCUGCAUGUGUUGAGAUCCUUGAUGAAAGAAGCCAUGCACUUGGUGAACAGGUUAUCAAUUCAAAAACAUUUUUGGCAAAUGAUGCACAAGAAGUUUAUUCUUCAAGGCUAUCAAAGCUCAUUAGGGAUACAGAUGUUGAGUUGAGAUCUCUAUGUGGGAGUUUGAACAAAAAUCUUAGAGAAGAGGAAAAUGCUGGAAAGCAAAGGGAAGUUCUGUCUUAUCCUCCUGCUUUACAAAGACCGAUCAAGAUCUUCAAGAUUCUGAACACUGUUUAUGGGUUCUUGGAAAAACAGCACAUGCAAACUACUUGGAAUAAUAUCAAAGGAGCAUUGAAGCAGCUCUUCUGUCAUGGAUUUGAAGAAGUUACUUUGAAGGACAUUGAGCAACUUGCAAAACUUUGCCCAAAGGUGCUUGUGCUUAGUAGUAGGGCUGUGGAUGGAGAGGAUUUGACAUUCUUUAUUGAUUUGCUUCAUUCAUCAAGGAAAGGAAUGCAUGAUCAAUUGAAUCCAUUGCAUGAUGUUAUCCCUGGUGGCAAGAAAGUAUCAGAAAGAACUAUAAUUAAUACAAUCCAGAAACGGCAGAGAGCGUUUGAGAAAGAUUUACUAGAAGCUAUACAAUAUUGGCAGGAAACAAAAGGUUCUAGUGAUAAGGCAUUCGAUGCAGUCACUGUAGAAGAUUUGAUAUUGGCUGCAAAAGAUAUGGAUCAAGUCACUACAAAAAAUUGCAUUCGUGGAUGUGCUUCCCCACCAUUUCCAAGAACAUCACAGGGGCAUAAUAAACAAUAUCGCUGUUCGGAGACUAAGGAAUUAAUGCCAUUUGAUAUGGUUGACCAUUUGAAGAAAGGAUUGGGGUCUUGUGGACAGGUGGUACAUGUCGAAAACAUCAAUGCAAGGAAAGCGAAGUAUGGGGUUCCUUCUAUAACAUUUUCAGAAUCUACUAAUGCUCUCCUUAAAGGAAUGGGUAUAAGUCGCCUGUAUAGUCAUCAGGCAGAAGCAAUACAAGCUGCCGUAUUGGGAAAAAAUGUUGUUGUGGCAACUUCAACUGCCAGUGGAAAGUCACUUUGCUACAAUGUCCCAGUUCUGGAAGAGCUAACAACAAAUCCCUUGUCUUGUGCGCUAUAUCUUUUUCCAACAAAGGCUUUGGCUCAGGAUCAGCAUCGGGCUUUAAUAGAAAUGACGCAAAGAUUGGAAGUUACCAUAAAUAUGGGUAUUUAUGACGGUGAUACUUCUCAAGGUCAUCGAAUCUGGAUUCGUGACAAUGCUAGACUGCUUAUUACCAACCCAGAUAUGCUUCAUAUGUCAAUAUUGCCAGUACACAAAAAGUUUGAGCGCAUCUUAUCAAAUCUCAGGUUUAUGAUCAUAGAUGAAGCUCAUAUAUACAAAGGAGUUUUUGGGUGUCACACUGCUCUCAUUUUGCGAAGGAUGCGCAGGAUUUGUCAUCAUUUAUACGGAACUAACCCAACGUUCAUCAUCAGCAGUGCAACUGCUGCAAAUCCUCGUGAACAUGCCAUGGAACUUGCUAAUCUGCGAGAAGUGGAAGUGGUGCUAGAGGAUGGGAGUCCAUGUGGCUCAAAGCUUUUUCUCCUCUGGAAUCCUCCAUUGAUUGUAAAUCAUAAGCGAAAGACACAAAAAGGUGUCAAAAUGCAUGAUCCAGAUAAUAUGAACAUAAACGUUAAGCGUUCAAGUGCUAUUAUGGAGGCUUCUUUCAUCUUUGCUGAAUUGGUUCAGCAUGGAUUGCGCUGCAUAGCCUUCUGCAAUACUCGUAAACUCAGUGAGCUUGUCCUCAACUACACGCAUGAGAUUCUAAGGGAGACUGCACCACAUUUAGUCAAUUCAAUCUGUGUGUAUCGAGCUGGCUACACUGUUCAGGACAGGAGAAAGAUUGAGAGUGAUCUCUUUGGAGGAAACGUUCGAGGAGUUGCGGCAACAAAUGCUUUAGAGCUUGGAAUUGAUGUGGGUAACCUUGAUGCAACCUUGCACCUUGGCUUCCCCGGCAGUGUUGCAAGUUUGUGGCAGCAAGCUGGCAGAGCAGGGAGGAGGGAAAAGCCCUCCUUGUCUAUUUAUGUGGCAUUUGAAGGACCACUAGAUCAGCACUUCAUGAGAUACCCUAAUAAACUGUUCUCAAGACCAAUUGAACAUUGCCAAGUGGAUGCUUAUAAUAAACAGGUGGUAAAACAACAUCUAGCUUGUGCUGCUUUGGAAUACCCUAUUCAUGUGGAACAUGAUGAGAAGUUUUUUGGUUCUGUAUUACAUGAUGUUAUUUUCGAUCUUACCCAGAGAGGAUAUUUAAGUAGGUGUUCCAAUGGUGUACCAAAUGAUGAGUCUUUACACUACAUUGGGCAGGAGAAACACCCUUCCUAUGCUAUCAGUAUUCGGGCAAUAGAUCCAGAGAAGUACAGUAUAAUAAAUCAGUCUACAGAUGAAGUAAUAGAAGAAAUUGAAGAAAGCAAAGCCUUCUUUGAGGUGUAUGAAGGUGCUGUCUACAUGCAUCAAGGGAAGACGUUCCUUGUUAAGAGUUUAGAUCUUUCUGCAAAGAUAGCUGUGUGCCAAGAGGCAGAUUUGAAAUACUAUACAAAAACUCGUGACUUCACGGAUAUUCAUGUAAUUGGUGGUGACCUUGCAUAUCCACUUAAAAUUUCAGGACCGGAGAAUCGAGCAACUACUGCUCAAGCAAAUCUGUGCAAAGUAACUACAAAGUGGAUUGGAUUCCGCCGUAUUUGGUGCAGGAGCAAUGAAGUUUUUGAUACUGUGGAUCUUUUUCUUCCCGAGUACUCAUUUGAAUCACAAGCAGUCUGGAUACGAGUGCCGCAUCAGAUCAGAAUAGAUAUUGAAAAGCAAAAUCUUUCUUUCCGUGCAGGCCUGCAUGCCGCUUCUCAUGCAUUGCUCAACAUAAUGCCAUUGUAUAUUAUGUGCAACCCUUCAGAUUUAGGGACAGAAUGUGCCAAUCCACAUGACAGCCGUUAUUUCCCAGAGAGGCUUCUGUUAUUUGAUCGGCAUCCUGGAAGCAUUGGUAUUGCACCACAGGCACAGCCGCUCUUCCCUGAACUGCUUCAAGCGGCCUUGGAGCUGCUGAUUCAAUGCGAGUGCUCAGCUGGUACAGGUUGCCCAAAUUGUGUUCAGAAUUUUUCUUGUGGCGAGUACAAUGAAGUUAUAGAUAAGCAGGCAGCCAUUUGCAUUCUAAAGGCUGUCAUUCAAGUGGAGGAUUUAUACAGAGAGGGAUUGAAGUGAUAUGUAAGAACCUCAGCAACAGAUUAAAAGGUCCCUACAUCCAUAGAAUCAUGUUACAUGGAGUUUCAAGGGGAUGAGAAAGGGAUGGGGACCAGUUUUGCAUUACAGUGGAAUGUUUUAUUGGAUUUAGGAAGCAACGAUCGCAAUGAGUUGUAGGGACAGGGAUGACAAUGGAUGGCAGAGGGAGAGAACACUUUGGGGAUAUGGAUGACAAGAGUUGUGGGGACAGGCUUUCAGUCCAAUAAAAAAAAUCCAGAUUUAGGAAACAACAAAGGCAUGUGAAUGGAAGUUUGGAACUUCUACAAAGGGAUGAGGAGCAAGUUUGCAGUACAAUAGAAUGUUUUAUUGGAUUUAAGAAGCAAGAAUGGCAAUGAGUUGUGGGGACAGGGAUGACAAUGGAUGGUAGAGAGAGAGAACACUUUGGGGAUAUGGACGACAAGAGUUGUGGGGACAUGCUUUCAGUCCAAUAAAAGAAAAAAUCCAGAUUUAGGAAACAACAAAGGUUCAAUGGAAGAUUGUCACCCAGUUAAAAUAUAAGUGCUGAUUAAAUUCUAACAUGAAGUUUCAACAAAAUCUUGCAUCAUAGUUGAGUGGAGCGAACCUCUGAACUGCAGGACAUGUUUAUUCUUUUCAAAAUCCAGAAUCAGCAAGGUUGAAGGACAGGUGCUAUUUGUAUGUGAUGUACAUUUUAGAGAUAAAGAGAUAUGCUCACUCAUUUAAAGAAGAGACAUGUUUUC